CGUUCCCGGGCCUUGUACACACCGCCCGUCACACCAUGGGAGUUGGUUUUACCUGAAGUAGGUAGUUUAACCGCAAGGAGAACGCUUACCACGGUAUGGUUCAUGACUGGGGUG
Molecule: ribosomal RNA, 114 nt
Filed under: uncultured bacterium
Lineage: Bacteria
Description: partial 16S ribosomal RNA
Rfam family: Bacterial small subunit ribosomal RNA
Source: RNAcentral